CCUACGGGUGGCAGCAGUGAGGAAUAUUGGUCAAUGGGCGCAAGCCUGAACCAGCCAAGUAGCGUGAAGGAUGACUGCCCUACGGGUUGUAAACUUCUUUUAUAAAGGAAUAAAGUGAGGCACGUGUGCCUUUUUGUAUGUACUUUAUGAAUAAGGAUCGGCUAACUCCGUGCCAGCAGCCGCGGUAAUACGGAGGAUCCGAGCGUUAUCCGGAUUUAUUGGGUUUAAAGGGUGCGUAGAUGGCGUGUUAAGUCAGUGGUGAAAGUUUGCGGCUCAACCAUAAAAUUGCAGUUGAUACUGGGAGUCUUGAGUACAGUUGAGGCAGGCGGAAUGCGUGGUGUAGCGGUGAAAUGCUUAGAUAUCACGAAGAACCCCGAUUGCGAAGGCAGCCUACUAAGCCGCCACUGACAUUGAUGCUCGAAAGUGUGGGUAUCAAACAGGAUUAGAUACCCGAGUAGUC
RNAcentral lists this ribosomal RNA (460 nucleotides) under uncultured bacterium. RNAcentral describes it as "partial 16S ribosomal RNA". It matches the Rfam family "Bacterial small subunit ribosomal RNA", at positions 338 to 795 of the family's 1533-position model. The record is from RNAcentral.